UACGGAAGGGGCAAGCGUUGUUCGGAAUCAUUGGGCGUAAAGGGCGCGUAGGUGGUUCUGUAUGUCUACCGUGAAAGCGUACGGCUCAACCGUAUUUUGUCGGUGGAAACUGCAGGACUUGAGGCUGGGAGGGGCUGGUGGAAUUCCCUGUGUAGCGGGUGAAAUGCGUAGAGAUGGGGGAGAACACUCGUGGCGAAGGCGGCCAGCUAGACCAGUUCUGACACUGAGGCGCGACAGCGUGGGGAGCAAACAGG
This 254-nucleotide ribosomal RNA is filed under the name uncultured bacterium. Its description in RNAcentral is "partial 16S ribosomal RNA". It matches the Rfam family "Bacterial small subunit ribosomal RNA", at positions 524 to 776 of the family's 1533-position model. The record is from RNAcentral.